ACCAUGCUCCUUCACUUCUCUUCUCUAGAACUUUCAGUUCAACUUCUAUAAUCUCUUGAGUGUCUCCUAUGUGCCAAGUGCUAGGUCUUCAAAAGAGAAAGAAAGAGACAGUCAUGGAGUUCGGUCCAGAAGAGGAAACAGAACAUAAACCUAAUUAUACUGCAGUGUGAUUUGAACAGUGGAGAAGUAUGUGAAGAACACAGAAGUAUUAAAGGAAAGAGACUCAAUUUUUCAGCACAAUUCCUCCUAUGCUGAAAAAAGUCAGUUUUAUAUAUCCUAAAUGGCAAUCAAUAUUCCUUUAUUUUUAAAUUAUCUUUUUCCUGUCUUUUCUUUAAGUGCCAAGUUUCUUCAAAGGGUAGACACUCAUGCCUUUAGAUCCCCAUAUAUUUCUUAACCUUCUUCCAUUCUACCAUUUCUUUUAACUGCUAACAUUUUCUGUUUUUCAAUAACCUGAUUUCUCAACACUACCAAAUGCACUGAAAGCAUCACUUCUUCUGGCUUCUAUGACAUUAAAUGGUUUCCAUUCUCCUCUGACCUUUCUGAGAAGGUCUUUGUCUAUCUCCUGUUUAGCUAUUCUUUUUCCUCUCACCCAUUAAUUAGAUGCUUUUUAAUAUCCUGAUAUUAAACUUACGUCAUUUUCUAUGUAUUCCCUUGAAGACCUAAUCGAGUUAUUGCUUCUGUCUAGGAAAAUAAUCUAAAUAUGAAUUUCUAAUCUAAUAAACCAUUAACACCUUGAGAUUAGGAAAAGUAUCUCAAAUUCUUUUUAAAAUAUCUCAAAGCAGAAAUGAUCACAACAUUGUAAAUCUUUUUGUCAUUGUAAAUCAUUUUUGUCUUUUUAGAGCUGCACUACAGCAUAUGCAAGUUCCCAGGCUAGGGGUCCAAUUGGAGCUGUAGCUACCAGGCUAUGCCACGGCCACAGCAACACCAGAUCCAAGCUGCAUCUACGACCCACACCACAGCUCAGGACAAUGCCAGAUCCUUAACCCACUGAGCAGGGCCAGGAAUCAAAACUGCAUCAUCAUGGAUACUAGUUGGGUUCGUUAUUGCUGAGCCAGGAUGGGAACUCCUUAAACCAACUAUAUUUCAAUUAAACUUUAAAAACUGAAAAACAUUAAGUGAACAACAAAAAAAUCUCGAGUGCUAGGUAUAUUUAAAAAGAUCCAAUAAGUGUUAGACCAAUUCAACACAAUCUCACAAACUGAUUCUCAAAAUCAAUUUGACAGUCUCCCAAGAUUCAGUUCUUUCUAAUUGUCUGCUAGUUAUCUCUAUAAACUCUCAAAAAUUUGUCCUAAACCGAUUUCUUAAUUCAUUAUUUUAAAUUAAUCUAUUCAUUUGUUUUCCAGCAAAUAUGGACUGAAUGAUCACCUAGGCUUAUGUACAUUGGUGAACAAAGAUGAUAUCGUCUCCUUUUUAAAAUCAGAUUACCCUCUAAGGCAUUUCCUAAUUUAUUAUAAUUUCCAAUAUUUUGCUGCUAUUUAAAAAAUGAUUUUUAUUUUUUCCAUUAUAGUUGGUUUACAGUAUUCUGUCAAUUUUCUACUUUACGGCAAAAUAACCCAGUCACCAAUAUACAUAUAUACAUUCUUUUUCUCACAUUAUGUUCCAUCAAUGCUCCAUCACAAGUGACUAGAUAUAGUUCCCAGUGCUAUAUGGCAGGAUCUCAUUGCUUAUCCAUUCCAAAGGCAAUAGUUUGCGUUACCAUUUUUUUUUUUUUAAUAUCUAAGCCUGGAAGGUUAAAAUAAAUGAUUUCUCAUUCAGUGAAUAAGUCCUUAAUAGUUUACCUUAAUGACUCUAGUACAGCUGGAUCUCUGUGACAUCCUCCCAAGUAUUUUUCAAUUUCUUCUUGUUCUAAACCUUUUCUUGAGCCCCACUCCAAGCACUUUAAAUUUCUGUUGAAAUGCAGUGGUUUCCAUUCCACUUCUCUGCUCAAAUACUUUCCAUAUUCCCCUGUAUUAGGUUCUUCCCAACCAGCCCCACCUACCUCUCUUGCUGACAUUUUCUUGUGCUUAUCUCUUUCACACACAUUCCAACUCUAACCAGAUGGUUUCCUUGCUGCCCUAGGAGCACACAUUUCACUCUCUUACCUCUGGGCCUUUGCUCUUGCCACGUGUUCUGGGGAGGUAUUCUUUUCUUUCCUUAUUCAUUGGAACCCAAGCUACUCUUAACACAUAGCUUAAGUAGCCAUUUCUUUCCGAGCCCUUUCAUCUCUACUCAACAUAAUCUCCUUACUUGGGAAUUGCUAUGAAGAUUUGUGGUUAUCAUUUAAAUUCGUUUCUAGAGCUUUGUGAUCUCCUACUACACUUGUCACAUAUUAACUGUAUUUAUUUUCUGUGGUAGUAAUAUUCAGGCACAAGGCAAACAGCUCCAAUUCAUGCUACUUUUCCUAUGCAAUGUGUAUUUUUUAUUGCCUAAGCUCACUAAGUUAUUAGGUUUUUCUAUGCACUCUUACGAGAGGAAUGAUAUAAAGAAUAUAGAUUACUCUUCAAGUAACCGAGUCAGAACUCCAUAUAUACAUUUUAAAAAUAAUCUUAAUUAUUCACAAAGUCAGAAAGAAUUGCAAUGUUCCAUGUUAGUCAUUUUAUGGUUUUUCAAAUUUACUUAUUAUUUCCAUUUGAAAUUGGUAGGUAUUAAGAAGCCAGUAAGUACAUUGAAGUGUUCACGAAUAAAGGAGAAUGAUGUUUACAACUUAUUACCUUGUGUAUGUAUGAGAGAGAAUGAUAAAGUAAAUAUGGGAAAAUGUUAAUGGUAAUGAAUACAGUGAAGGAGAGGUGGGAGUUUUAUGUACUAUUCUUGCAAAUUUUCUGUAAGCUUCACAUUUCUUCAUGAUAAAAUUUUAAAACAUUAAUAUUGGAUGUAUUAUCUUUCCUUCAACACUUUGUGUUGAAAAUAAUACCUAAAUAAAUUCUCAUGAAUGCUAAAUAUAAUUUAAAAAUAUUAAACUUUUAGACCCUUAAAAGUUUUUAAAUCUUUUAAAAUCCUUUACAUAAACCAACCCUAACUCAAAAGAAUAAAACAUAUUUAUUCAUUUUUAAAAAUAAAUUGGGAUAGAUAUUGUAUUUUUGUAUCAGAAAUAUGUAUUUUCUAACAAAUACUGAGUAUGUACUUUGUGUUAGGCACUGUGUAAGGUGCUAAACAUAGCUGCUACCCUUAUGGAGCUUCUUUCUGUAAAGUAAGGGAAGUGCUGAGACAAUAAAAAAGUAGAUGAUGGGAUAUCUGAAGAUGAUAAAGUCUAAAAGGAUACACGAAGCAGAAAAGAAGGACAGGUGGUCAGGGUUGGUGAUAGGCUUCAUCUGAGCAGAGAAUCAGGGAAAUUAAAGGAGUGAGCCAAGAAUGUAACCAGCAAAAGAGCUGUCCAGGUGGGAGAAUAACAGGUGUAAAGGCCUCAUGUGCUUAUCUUGUUCAGGAAGCAACAAGGGUUCUGGAUUAGUUAGAAGAGAUAGUGAACGAGGGAGAACGAUUAAGCGAUGAAGUGAAAUAUGUAGUGGGUGACAGAUAACAUAAGUUCUUACAGGUCUUUGUAAGGUUGUUGGCUUUUACUCCAAGUGAACUGGAAAUGAAUCAGAGCAUUUUGGGCAGGGGGAGAGAGAAUCUUGUUUAUGAGGAGAAUUUGUGGCUAUGUUGUAGAAAACAGAUUGUAAGGUGUAGAAGGCUGAAAGUUUGUGGAUGAAUUCAGAGGCUGUUGCCAAAAUCUAGUUGAGUUAUGUAUGGCAGCUUGAAAAUCAGGGUGCUAGCAGUAGAGGUGGAAUGUCAAGUGGCCAGAAUUUGAGUCUAUUCUGAAGAUAGAGUAAACGGGAUUUGUUAAGAUUGGAUAUUGGGAAUGAGCAAAAGUGGCAAAUCAAGGAAGAUUUCAAGGUUUUUCAACUGGGAUGAGGAUACUCUGUGAGGAAGAGGCUUUGGAAAGAGAAAUCAGAGUUUCAUUUUUGAACAUGUUAUGUUUGAGAUAACUGUGAGACAUCCAAAUGAAUAGGCUGACCAGGAACUGAGUUAUAUGAGCCUGGAGUUCAGGAAAGAGAAGUAUACUAGAAAGUAAAUUUGGGAGUUAUUAGUAUAUAGAUGGUAUUUAAAGUAUGAAACUUGAUGGGAUCCUAAGAAAUGAAUUAAGAGAAAAACAGAUGACUAAGGUUUGGAAAACAAAAAAUCCUUCAGGAGACAGGAAAAAACAAAACAAACAAACAAAAAACAACAAAAAACCACACAGGCAAAUGUAGAGUUCUGAACAAAGUGUUUGAGGGAGGAGAGAGUGAUCAAUUUUGUCAAAUGCAACUGACAGGUCAAUUAAUUUAAGGGUUGGGAAUUUGAUAGUGAAAUGGGAGUGAUUUUUUUCUUUGAUCACGGAAGUUUUGGUGGAAUGGUUUGAAAGGGAAAGGCCAGUGAGCUCAAAAAGAAGAAUUUGAGGGGAGAAAUUGAAGAUAGUGAGUGGAGCCAAUGCUUUUAAAGAGUUUCUCUGUAAAAGAGCAGAGGAUCAGAGAAGAGCUCAAGGAGCAGUGGGGUCAAGAGGUUUUUUUUUUUUUUUUCUACCCAGAAGAUAUUACAGAAGAUGUGUAUAUUGACAGAAAUGAUCAGGUUGAGAGGGAAAAUUUAAUAAUGCCUGGGGUGGAGGAAUUGUAGAAGCUCUGUUCUUGAGGAAUCAAGUGAGCAAGACGGCCAGCUUUUCCAUAGUACCUGGAGGGAAAAUGGAGUAUGUGAGCACAGAGGCAUGAGGGCUGGUGGAGAGGAGGGGAGAGUGUAUGAAAGCCCUCUUCCGAUUUCUUCUAUUCUCUCAGUGAAACAGAUGACAAAGACAUUCUCUGAGAGUGAGAUGAAAAAGGAAGUGCUGGAGAUUUGAGAGAAGAAGAGACAGGGUGAAAUGAUCAUCCAAUAGAGUGAGGAAGUAAAUGUCCUAAGGAAAUGUAAUAGUAUUACUGGAUUAAGGGUAUGUAAUGUCAGGAAUUUGAACUGAGACCAGUCACUGUUUUUUGAGACACUGUCAAUUGUGUAGGAGUCACAAAAUAGAUUUAAAAAUGGAUUUCACCAAGGAUGAGGUUGGCAUGUGAGUACAACAAGUGAUAAAAGCAGAAAGGUAUGCACAGGUAUGAUUAUAGUAUGGACUAUGGAAGCUAAACCAGAUAAAGUGUAAAGUGAGGACAUGAAAGGGCAGUGGGAAAGCAAAUGGAAAUAGGAUUAGAGGUUUGCAGGGUUGUUGGGUCAAUCAAGUUACAAAAGAGGGUGAGAUAGGAGUUCUCCUUGCGGCUCAGCAGAAAUGAACCUGAUUAGCAUCCAUGAGGAUGUGGGUUUGAUCCCUGGUCCUGCUCAGUGGGUUAAGGAUCUGGCAUUGUUGUGGCUGUGGCAUAGGCUGGCGGCUGUAACUUUAAUUUGACCCCUAGCUUGGGAACUUCCAU
RNAcentral lists this long non-coding RNA (5375 nucleotides) under Sus scrofa (pig). RNAcentral describes it as "lncRNA (ENSSSCG00000061019.1)". Lineage: Eukaryota; Metazoa; Chordata; Mammalia; Artiodactyla; Suidae. The record is from RNAcentral.